GAUGAACGCUGGCGGCGUGCCUAAUACAUGCAAGUCGAGCGAACGGACGAGAAUCUUGCUCCUCUGAUGUUAGCGGCGGACGGGUGAGUAACACGUGGAUAACCUACCUAUAAGACUGGGAUAACUUCGGGAAACCGUAGCUAAUACCGGAUAAUAUUUUGAACCGCAUGGUUCAAAAGUGAAAGACGGUCUUGCUGUCACUUAUAGAUGGAUCCGCGCUUCAUUAGCUAGUUGGUAAGGUAACGGCUUACCAAGGCAACGAUGCGUAGCCGACCUGAGAGGGUGAUCGGCCACACUGGAACUGAGACACGGUCCAGACUCCUACGGGAGGCAGCAGUAGGGAAUCUUCCGCAAUGGGCGAAAGCCUGACGGAGCAACGCCGCGUGAGUGAUGAAGGUCUUCGGAUCGUAAAACUCUGUUAUUAGGGAAGAACAAAUGUGUAAGUAACUAUGCACGUCUUGACGGUACCUAAUCAGAAAGCCACGGCUAACUACGUG
RNAcentral lists this ribosomal RNA (497 nucleotides) under uncultured bacterium. RNAcentral's name for it is "partial 16S ribosomal RNA". It matches the Rfam family "Bacterial small subunit ribosomal RNA", at positions 28 to 507 of the family's 1533-position model. The record is from RNAcentral.